Long non-coding RNA from Sapajus apella (tufted capuchin), 1480 nucleotides. RefSeq lists it as uncharacterized. The record is from RefSeq and is a predicted model, not a curated record. The transcript is spliced from 2 exons. NCBI's taxonomy places the organism in Eukaryota, Metazoa, Chordata, Mammalia, Primates, Cebidae.
AUUGCUUGAACUAGGGAAGCAGAGGUUACAGUGAGCCAAGAUCAGGCCCCUGCACUUCUGCCUGGGCAACAGAGUGAGACUUCAUCUGAAAAGAGAGAGGGAGAGACAGAGUCUCCUUUGCUACUUCUUUGUCUUGGAAAAAUGCAAAAGUGGUACGUUUUUCUAUAGACUGCUACUGAAAUGACCAAUUUUCUGAAAGGGAGAGGGAAGAUGAUACACAAAAUUUUAAGAACAUAAAGCAGUUUUUCUCUACCCCUUUCUCUGACUUCUCUACAUUUGGUUCCGUAUUAGAUAUGGUCAUAUAUUCUGCUUUACAAAGUGUGGUUAUAUGUAGACAAUUCAAUUUGUCUUACAGAUAAUUCAAUUUAGCUUCUUUUUUUGACCAAAGAACAAGAUAUGGUUGGCAACCUCUUAGAUGACCUCCAAUGAUCUCUAUCCCUUAUAGAUUACACGCUUGUCUAUAAUCUUGUGUGUGUAUGUGUGUGUGUGUGUGAGCUGAACAUUUCAACUCACCUUUAAAAAACACUAUAUGGCAGAACUGAUGUGAUGGCACAUCUGAGGUUAUAGAAAAAAAAAACAACUGUGGCUUCUGUUUUGGGUGCUGAAUCUCAUGAUCUUUCUUGGAUGUCUUCAUAUGGGGGGAGGCCAGCUUCUAUGUCAUAAGGAAGCCAUGUGGAAAGGCACAAAUGGCAAAUAUCUGAGGCUUGCCAACAGCCAAAUGAGAGAGCUUGAAAACAGAUCCACUUCUAGUUGAGCCUUCAGAUGACUGCAGCCCAAACUGACAUGUUGAUUGCAGCUAUGUGAGAGACUGUGAACCAGAAUCACCCAGCGAAGCCACUCCUAGAUUCCUGACCCACAAAGACCAUGAGAUAAUAAAUGUUUGUUGUCCUCAGCCACUAAAUUUUGAAGUAAUUGGUUAUGCAGCAGUAGAUGGUUAAUACACCUGGUUUGGUGUAUUAAUCAGGGUAAUCAAGCUGGGUUAUAGAAGGAGUGUUUGAUAUGUAGGAAUGUUGUGAUUGAGAUAAUAAGCUGUUUUAUUUAUUGAAAAGUAAAAUAGUACAUUAACAAAAUCUUAUCUGAUAGAGAGAUAAUACCAGAAGUCUUCUUACUGUGAUUAUCAGCUAAGUGACUGGUUGAAGUCAGGAUAUAAAUCACUGGAUAGUUUUUUUUUUACUUAGAAAACAUCAAUAAGGCACUCUGUUAAAGAAAUUGAAAUGAGAUCUUGCCCUUUGGAGAAAGGGCAAGAUAAUUCCUGUAGCCACAGCUCUCAGUCAGACAGAAACAGAGUUUUGACAAUGGUGUUCCAGUGAGCCUGGCCCCAGAGCUCUCUUCAACUUGUCUCUUCCUUGACUUUGAGGAGAAGACUGGGCAUGAUUUAGAGGCUGGAGACUAACUGGACAAUGGGAAGAUGCAAAAAUUCAUGUCCUGGGCUCACCCUUUGACCUUGGGCCUUCCAGUUUCUCUUUGCCUCCCAUGUCUA